GACGAACGCUGGCGGCGUGCUUAACACAUGCAAGUCGAACGGAAAGGCCCUGCUUUUGUGGGGUGCUCGAGUGGCGAACGGGUGAGUAACACGUGAGUAACCUGCCCUUGACUUUGGGAUAACUUCAGGAAACUGGGGCUAAUACCGGAUAGCAGCUCCUGCUGCAGGGUGGGGGUUGGAAAGUUUCGGCGGUUGGGGAUGGACUCGCGGCUUAUCAGCUUGUUGGUGGGGUAGUGGCUUACCAAGGCUUUGACGGGUAGCCGGCCUGAGAGGGUGACCGGCCACAUUGGGACUGAGAGACGGCCGAGACUCCUACGGGAGGCAGCAGUGGGGAAUAUUGCACAAUGGGCGGAAGCCUGAUGCAGCAACGCCGCGUGCGGGAUGACGGCCUUCGGGUUGUAGACCGCUUUCGCCUGUGACGAAGCGUGAGUGACGGUAAUGGGUAAAGAAGCACCGGCUAACUACGUGC
RNAcentral lists this ribosomal RNA (469 nucleotides) under uncultured bacterium. RNAcentral's name for it is "partial 16S ribosomal RNA". It matches the Rfam family "Bacterial small subunit ribosomal RNA", at positions 28 to 508 of the family's 1533-position model. The record is from RNAcentral.